GACCGCUCCGGUGGCAUAGGGGUUAGAUCAUCCGCCUCUGAUGCGGGCAUCGCGGGUUCGAACCCCGAUCGAGUCA
Potamilus streckersoni is the source of this 76-nucleotide non-coding RNA. The record is from the annotation of a GenBank genome assembly. NCBI's taxonomy places the organism in Eukaryota, Metazoa, Mollusca, Bivalvia, Unionida, Unionidae.